This 385-nucleotide ribosomal RNA is filed under the name uncultured bacterium. RNAcentral describes it as "bacterial SSU rRNA". It matches the Rfam family "Bacterial small subunit ribosomal RNA", at positions 29 to 414 of the family's 1533-position model. The record is from RNAcentral.
AUUGAACGCUGGCGGAAUGCUUUACACAUGCAAGUCGAGCGGCAGCGCGGGGGGCAACCCUGGCGGCGAGCGGCGAACGGGUGAGUAACAUAUCGGAACGUACCCCGUCGUGGGGGAUAACACAGCGAAAGCUGUGCUAAUACCGCAUACGACCUGAGGGUGAAAGCGGGGGAUCGCAAGACCUCGCGCGAUGGGAGCGGCCGAUAUCGGAUUAGCUUGUUGGUGAGGUAAAGGCUCACCAAGGCGACGAUCCGUAGCUGGUCUGAGAGGACGACCAGCCACACUGGAACUGAGACACGGUCCAGACUCCUACGGGAGGCAGCAGUGGGGAAUUUUGGACAAUGGGGGCAACCCUGAUCCAGCCAUUCCGCGUGAGUGAAGAAGG